Molecule: ribosomal RNA, 2658 nt
Filed under: Gemmatimonadales bacterium
Lineage: Bacteria; Pseudomonadati; Gemmatimonadota; Gemmatimonadia; Gemmatimonadales
Description: partial 23S ribosomal RNA
Rfam family: Bacterial large subunit ribosomal RNA
Source: RNAcentral
ACAAGCAAGAAAGAGCACAUGGGGGAUGCCUUGGCAUCCGCCGGCGAUGAAGGACGUGAUAAGCUGCGAAAAGCUUCGGUGAGGCGCACAUAGCCAUUGACCCGGAGAUGUCCGAAUGGGGCAACCCAGCAGGCGCGAGCCUGUUACCGGUCACUGAAUCCAUAGGUGACCGGAGCAAACCGAGUGAACUGAAACAUCUCAGUAGCUCGGGGAAAAUAAAUCAAACGAGAUCUUCCUAGUAGUGGCGAGCGAACGGGAGAGAGCCUAAACCGGACUUAGUCCGGGGUUGUAGGGCCAGCCAUAUAGGAGUUACAAAGUGUAUCCUUAGCGGAAGUGAACUGGAAAGUUCCACCAUAGACGGUAACAGUCCGGUAUGCGAAAGGGAUAUGCCUCCUGGUUGGUACCUGAGUAGGACGGGACACGUGAAAUCCUGUUUGAAUCUGGGGGGACCACCCUCCAAGGCUAAAUACGAGCGGAUGACCGAUAGUGAACUAGUACCGUGAGGGAAAGGUGAAAAGAACCCCGGGAGGGGAGUGAAAUAGUACCUGAAACCGUGUGCUUACAAGCGGUUGGAGGGAGGCAAGUCCUCCUGACAGCGUGCCUUUUGCUUAAUGAGCCAGCGAGUUGCUCGUAUGCAGCAAGGUUAAGGGCUUACGGCCCGAAGCCGCAGGGAAACCGAGUGUGAAUAGCGCGAUUGAGUUGCAUGCGGCAGACACGAAGCCGGGUGAUCUAGCCAUGAUCAGGUUGAAGCGGGGGUAACACCCCGUGGAGGACCGAACCUGUUAAGAGUGAAAACUUAUUGGAUGAAUUGUGGCUAGGGGUGAAAGGCCAAUCAAACUCGGCGAUAGCUUGUUCUCUUCGAAAUAUAUCUAGGUAUAGCGUCACGGACGAAUAUCCAGGGGGUAGAGCACUGAUUGGACUAGGGGGCAUACCAGCUUACCAAACCCAAACAAACUCCGAAUACCUGGCAUAUGCUCCGUGGCAGGCAGCCCGUGGGUGAUAAGAUUCACGGACAAAAGGGAAACAACCCGGACCAUCGGCUAAGGCCCCAAAGUCCAUGCUAAGUGGGAAAGGAUGUGGGAUUACUCAGACAACCAGGAGGUUAGCUUAGAAGCAGCUAUCCUUUAAAGAAAGCGUAAUAGCUCACUGGUCAAGUGGUUCUGCGCCGAAAAUUAACGGGACUCAAGCAUGGCGCCGAAGCCGUGGGUGCGAUGGAUCUUCGGAUCCAUUUCGCGGUAGGAGAGCGUUCCGCAGCCUGUGAAGGUGCAUCGUAAGGUGUGCUGGAGGUGGCGGAAAUGAGAAUGCUGGCAUGAGUAGUGAUAAGGGAGGUGAGAAACCUCCCCACCGUAAGUCUAAGAUUUCCUGAGUUAAGCUAAUCUUCUCAGGGUUAGCCGGCCCCUAAGGCGAGGCGGAAACGCGUAGCUGAUGGGAACAGGGUGAAUAUUCCCUGGCCGGGAUCAAAGCGUUUGACCGAAGAGGGGACGCAGGAGACAAGGAAGGCAGCCCGUUGGACGUGGCUGUCCGGGAGCGUAGGGUGUCCGGUAGGCAAAUCCGCCGGGCGUUAACCCGAGACUUCCGGGGAAGUGCGCUGCUUGCAGCAAACCAACCUUCUGGAAAUUCUGCCCAGAAAAGCCUCUAAGGGAGUGAUGGUCCCGCCCGUAUCGCAAUCCGACACAGGUAGACAAGGCGAAUAGCCUAAGGUGUUCGAGUGAACUAUGGAGAAGGAACUAGGCAUAAUGACCCCGUAACUUCGGGAUAAGGGGCGCCUGCCAUGGUGAAGUGUACAACGUAGCCCAGGCAGGCCGCAGAGAAUCGGUGGAAGCGACUGUUUAACAAAAACACAGGUCAAUGCAAACUCGUAAGAGGACGUAUAUUGACUGACACGUGCCCGGUGCUGGAAGGUUAACAGGAGAUGUCAGCCGCAAGGCGAAGCAUUGAAUCGAAGCCCCAGUAAACGGCGGCCGUAACUAUAACGGUCCUAAGGUAGCGAAAUUCCUUGUCGGGUAAGUUCCGACCUGCACGAAUCGUGUAACGACUUCCACACUGUCUCAUCCGUAGGCUCGAUGAAAUUGCAGUAUUGGUGAAGAUGCCAAUUACCCAUAUCUGGACGGAAAGACCCCGUGAACCUUUACUGUAUCUUGGCACGGAUCUUAGGUUGCGUUUGUGUAGGAUAGGUGGGAGACUUUGAGCCCUGGCCGCUAGGUCGGGGGGAGUCGACCUUGAAAUACCACCCUGGUGCAAUUUGAGAUCUAACCGGGACCCGUGAAUCCGGGCUCGGAACAGUGCCUGGUGGUCAGUUUGACUGGGGCGGUCGCCUCCUAAAGUGUAACGGAGGCAUUCAAAGGUUCCCUCAGCGCGGUCGGUAAUCGCGCGUAGAGUGCAAAGGCAUAAGGGAGCUUGACUGUGAGGCUGACAGGCCGAACAGCUGCGAAAGCAGGACUUAGUGAUCCCGCGAUAACGCGUGGAAGUGUCGUUGCUCAAUGGAUAAAAGGUACUCCGGGGAUAACAGGCUGAUCUCCCCCAAGCGUUCAUAGCGACGGGGAGGUUUGGCACCUCGAUGUCGGCUCGUCGCAUCCUGGGGCUGGAGAAGGUCCCAAGGGUUUGGCUGUUCGCCAAUUAAAGCGGCACGCGAGCUGGGUUCAGAACGUCGUGAGACAG